This 5286-nucleotide unclassified non-coding RNA is filed under the name Hevea brasiliensis (rubber tree). Lineage: Eukaryota; Viridiplantae; Streptophyta; Magnoliopsida; Malpighiales; Euphorbiaceae. The record is from RNAcentral.
GAGAGCCCUAUGUUCUGUUGACUCGACUGAAAUUCCCCAACCCACAAUUGCUCGAGCAGCAUUCAUUUACAUACGAAUUGCAACACCAAGGAUAACCACCAAAACACACAAGAAAGAAGUGUCCUGACAACCGGAAUAGAUUAUGCCAUGCACACACAUUGCCAGAAUCUAGAGACUAAAGGGCAGUAAGAGAAGUUGUAAAACAGAGGUGUGCACCAAAGCUAGAUAUAUUUGAAGCUGAUUCAAGGACCUACAAGAAAUUCAUCCCUGAAAGGGGUUGUCACUAGAUUAUUUAUGUUCACAGGGAGUUAUUUUUCACAAUAUUAAUCCUUCUAGGAAUCACAGUGCAAAUAUAUCAUUAGAACUACAACUCACCUACCCAAAAAAAUCCUUCGAUUUACUUUACAAAAUAGAAGACAAAGGGAACUGCAGAAAUUGAAAUUUCAUGGAGUGGUUGUUUCAGCUUCAUUAUCACUUUCACUGGCAUUUGAUUGGGCAUCAUUGUACAUCUUUUCCGGAUCCAAAAUAUGCCCAGUCAUUGGAUCAACUGGACGUGUGUCACGAGGUCCACCUUUACGCCCCAUUGCUACCAUUGGUAGAGGAGGUAGUAAUCCUGCUCUGAAAAGAAUGCGUUGGACAGGGUCUGAAGGCUGAGCACCGACUGAUAACCAAUACUUCACUCUCUCGAAAUUAAGACCCAUCCGUUUGCCUCCGUCUUGACCUGGAAGGGGAUUGUAGUAACCAAGGACUUCCAGGUGUUUGCCAUCUCUGGGGGAUCUGCUAUCAGCGGCCAUGACCCGAUAAAAUGGUUUGUUUUUGCACCCGAAUCUCGACAAUCGGAUCCUCACCACCAUAUUCUCUGUCGGAUUAAUUUGACAAGGAAACUCAAACAAAGUAGAAGUUAGAAUAGCGAACGAAAAGAGCAGUGCUGGAUUCAAAGUGGAGCGGCCGCUGCAAUCCAAGGGUUUGGGGCUUGUAAGAGGAAAUAGCCAGAUGGAUUGGAGAUUCACUUUAAUUCAAAGUACGAACUUAAUACGACGCCGUUUUAGAAUUAAAUGAUAGUUGACACCGUCUACCGUGAGCCUUAAAAUUGAUAAUCGAUAAUCCACUGAAAUAUUAAGAAUUUUUUUUUAUAUAAUUUGCAUAUAUUUGAAUUAAAGCAUUAAAAUUGAAAAGUAGGAGAUAACAAUAAAAUUAAAUUUUAUAAUAACUAGAGAGAACAUGAAAGUUGGGCACAAGACAAUCUAAGAAGGAAAGGGAUACUGCUUCAUUUCUUCCACCAGUUUCUUAGGAGCGUCACUUUAUGGAACAGGGCUACAAAGAUUUUUACCAGACCUAAAUAAUAAACCUUCCAAGGCACUAUAGCAGCUCCCACACAUAAUUCAUUCUCUCGGAUUAAAUCUUGAUGCCAAGUGUAUCCUAAAUUUUUAAGGAAUAAUAAUAGACAAAUCAGGUUGUAACUCCAAAAUCUCUUAUGUAUAUGAUCAAUACCCAUUACUGUAACCAACAUAAUUGGUUCUAGAGCGAAUAUUGUGGUGGUUGUAAAUGGACUCUCCAUAAUCAACAGGCUUAAUCACCACAGCUUCACGCUUCCCAUCCUGCUCAUGAAUUGCCCCGAACACAAUCUCAUUUGUUUUCUCAUUGCUUUGCUCAUAGUAAGUGUGUGGGGUUGUAGAUUGAUAUCGAUGAUGAUGUUGUUUUUGGUGCUGCUGCUGCUGCUGCUGAAAAUCAUCCCACCCACUAUAGAAAGCUCGACCUUGCUUCCAUUGAUGCUUCUUUUCAGCAUCCUUGGACAUGAAUGGAUAGGUUUUCCUUGGCGUUGGCGUUCUAGUUUCAAUAGAAGGAGGCUCAUCUUCCUCUGUUAUCACAAAGCUGUCCUGCAUUGGCCAAGCAUUUGAAUGCAUCUGCGGCUGGUUUUGAUAUUGAUAGCUUGGUGGCUUCUUUCUAAAACCAGGAACUAUUCCUCCCAAAAUUUCAACAACAGCUGCUCCACCAUUGGCAAAAAGCUUGCCAAGGGAUCCAAAGAAGCCUUCUUCAUGCUUCUCUUGUUCAUCUUCAGUUGGAAUUAAAGGUGGCCUGACUGAUUUAAGAGGUUUCUGAUAUGGACUUGCUGCAGUGCUUGUUUUCAUUGCAUCCCGAUCCUUCACAGCAUAUCAAAAAGAUUAAAAAAACAUUUACCUCAUUACAUAGCAGAUAUUGUCAAAACCUAAAUAUAUGUUUUGCAGUGAAACUUGGGGUAUUUUUAGCUCUUCAGAGUAUAAUUGCAACUUGGCAAUGCAUAGCACAGCUAGAAUGAGCAAAGCAGAACCAAUACUCAAGAAGGUAGCAUGUUUUUUCUUUCAACAUGCGCACGAAAGCAGAACCCGGAGAUCUUAUUUGAAGCUACUUAACCAAUCACCAAACAUGGCCAUGCAAGUUCCGAAAAAGGGAAAACAAAACAAUAUAUGACUUCAAGCAAUUCAACGGAGAAUCAUAAGUGCAGUGAUAGAUGCAGCAUUUAGACUUAGAGGCCAGAUGUCUUUUAGUAUGUUUCACUCAUAAUUUGUCUUUUUAAAAUUACUUCUCUAUCAAUAAAAAACCUUUUCAAUUUUACCAAUGAGCUUUAACUCAGUGCAAGUGGUAUAUUUUAAGCAAUCAUGUAAAUCCUGAUGAGUAUCCUACGACGCUAUGACAAAAAGUUAUUGAGAAAUAACUAGAGAUUUAAAGACCAGCGAAACUUACAUUCUGAGAAGAAAAGAUCAUUCCCACCCUAAGUUGCAGCAAAGCCAGCAUGUAACCAAAGAAGCCAGCUGCUACAAGGACUGCAAUCCCUGCAAUAAUGAAGUGAUUGCCUAAAUCUAUUAUAUGAGCAAAUAAUAGAAUGUUAUAUUAAGGUAUAGAAGUUUGCUUACCAAGGGGAAAGCCACUGCCAUAUUGAUAAGCACAGUCAUCAAAAUGGAGUUGGAUCUCUCUGAUGGCUCGGUUUCCUCUGUCUAUAACAAGCAGAGAGCAACUGCUUCCAAUGUAUACCACAUCAAAAUCAUUAGAAAACUUUGCAUCUUCACUUGCUCCAUCUACAUGGCCUCCUCCACGGCCCCAUUUCCCUCCCGCAAUUGUUGUAACCCCUGCAUCACUUAUCUUCCUGAUUGCCAUAUUCAUGGUGUCUGCAAUGUAAAUAUUUCCUCUGUCAUCUACUGUCAGCCCCUUUGGAUGGUUCAUCCUUGCCUCUCUGGUCUUCCCAUCUACAUGUCCAGAGUAUCCCUCAGGGGAUCCAGCAACGAGCUUAGGUCUGCUGUCUGCAGUAUGUUUUCAUUUUUUUUUGAAAAAAAAUCGUCAACAAAAAAUAUGGGCAACAAAAAACUUCAAACAUAUCACAUAAAGUUUAUAAUUCAUGAACAGAAUAUCAUGAAAUAUCCAACUAACCUUGGUAAACCUUAGAAGCACAAGGUAAACUUAAUGGAAUUCUUAAUUUAACACAUAGGAAGGAAUGAUACAGGUGUGAAUAUGCUUAAACACUCAAUUGCAGUUGUAAGAUAUUAAAACAGCUAAAUUCAAGAGAAGUAGAAUUUUAUUGCCCUAUAUUAAGGUUAUGUUUUCUUUCAGGAAUAUGUAGCAAAUCACAAAAUAGAAAUUAGAAGUAAUAUACCUUUUCUAUUUGUACCAUGCUUAAUAUAUAUCCUGCUUAAUUAUGGAAACAUAUGCCAACCAUUUCACAAACUAUAAGACCUUUUCCUGAGAAAUAAAGUUCAUGUUAGGAUCUCUCAACUGUCUCUGCUGAUCUUGACACAGCAUUUGAAAUACCAUUCCAAUUUUUUUAUUUUCCACCAAAGAGUAGUGGUAUUUUUCUUUACAGGAUUAGUCUUUAGAUCUAAUCUUCCCAAGACCAAUAAUAGAAAAUAACCGAAAAUACAUUUAGUUUACACAUAAAAGCCUGCCACAUAAGACAACAGGCUUCAAAAAGGUAUAAAAAAAUAUAUUUUAUUUUGCAGAUUCAUUCUCUGGAUCCCAUCUCCACAAAAGCAACUAAAGCAAAAGAGAAAUUAUAAUUAUAAAGUUUGCCGCUUGAGAGAAUCAGCUUUGAAUAUUGCAUAACCACCUUAUGCAUCCUUUGCAAUAGAUAUUUUGAACACAAAUUUAAGAUGAAAGGUACCGCAAACCAUUAAAUCAUGAAGCUAUCCUUUUUAAAAAAAUAAUUACUAAUUCAGACAGUUUAGCACACAUAAGCUUAAGCUGUCUGUGGUUUUAUAAAAGCUGAAAUUCUUUGUGGUUUUACAAAAGCUGAAGUUGAUUGGGGUUUCAAUAAUAGCAAUUAAACCCAAUAAUCUUUUGACAAAUGGAAGUUUGGUAGAGGCAAAAGGUUGAGAAAUAACAUACUAGAAAUGAUAGUGCCAAACAAACUAGAAUUAGUUAUUCUAUAAAACAAGGCCAAUCAAUCAAUAUCCCAGGCCAUUACAAAGCCCACUUACACAGAGACAGGGAAGAGGAUAUCCUGUAAAGGUUACUGUUAGCGGAGUCCAAAAUUAGAAGCUCCCCACUGGGCAACACCUCCACAGAGUAAGGCUCAAUCCCAAGCUUGCUUCCAUUGAAUACCGUCUCAACAGUAUAUCCACUCUCAAACUUCAUCAUAGGACAGCCAGAAAUCGCUAUGCAAACAAAUUACACAAACCAUAUCUCACAUAAAUCCACACACAAACAGUGAAUACCACAGGAAAAAAAGGAGAAAAAAAAAGGAUGAAGAAAAAAAAUGUGGGUGUCAGAAUCAGAGAUCUAAACUUGUUUUACUAGUGGCUUUGAGAGACCAUAACCAUUUCAUAAAAGCAGAAGCGACAUUUGAGAAUAACCCACUAACAAUCUUUGCAGGUGAAGUAGUAGAAGGAGCUGAAGAGACACCUCCAAAAAGCAGCAAGAUCAUAAGGAACAAAACCAACAAAUUCUUGCCCAUUACACCCACUGCUUCUAUUCUGAAGAGGAACCCAGAGAAAAGCUAAAAUAUGAAGAUUCAAGCUCUAAGCAUUUGAAGAAACCCUACCUCUUAUCUGGGUUUGAAUAAAAAAGUUGGUUUUGAUAUGAAAUGUUGCUAAAGGGAGAUGCUCAAAAACAGUAUUUUUUUUUUUUAAAGAGCUUUUGGUUUAAACCGGAGAAGAGGAAGGGGGAAUGUAUUUUUUGAGAGCAUAAACUAGAAAGUGAGAAUGGAGGAUAGGAAAGCAGAAAAGGGACAAAGAAAAGAGAGAAAAAAGAAGAGAAAAAGCAAGUGAGGUCACUGGCUCAGUGGGGGCAGUGCUGAGGGGAGAGAGAGAGAGAGAGAGA